RNAcentral lists this ribosomal RNA (423 nucleotides) under uncultured bacterium. Its description in RNAcentral is "bacterial SSU rRNA". It matches the Rfam family "Bacterial small subunit ribosomal RNA", at positions 28 to 450 of the family's 1533-position model. The record is from RNAcentral.
GAUGAACGCUGGCGGCGCGCCUAACACAUGCAAGUCGAACGAGUAAGACGCCUUCGGGCGUGCAUAGAGUGGCGAACGGGUGAGUAACACGUGACCAACCUGCCCCCUCCUCCGGGACAACCUCGGGAAACCGAGGCUAAUACCGGAUACUCCGGGCCCCCCGCAUGGGGAGCCCGGGAAAGCCCUGGCGGGAGGGGAUGGGGUCGCGGCCCAUCAGGUAGACGGCGGGGUAACGGCCCACCGUGCCUACUACGGGUAGCCGGGCUGAGAGGCCGAUCGGCCACAUUGGGACUGAGACACGGCCCAGACUCCUACGGGAGGCAGCAGUGGGGAAUUUUGCGCAAUGGGGGCAACCCUGACGCAGCGACGCCGCGUGCGGGACGAAGUCAUUCGUGACGUAAACCGCUUUCAGCGAGGAAGAAC